Long non-coding RNA from Ictalurus punctatus (channel catfish), 3427 nucleotides. The record is from Ensembl. Lineage: Eukaryota; Metazoa; Chordata; Actinopteri; Siluriformes; Ictaluridae.
AGGAUUCUCAAUUCCCUAGGUAAAAAAAAUGACGUAGACAAGACGACUAAACAACCGGGAGGGACCUUGGUCUUAUCGUUAUCUCGAGGGGGGGGGGGGGGGGGGGGAGUUUGACCCAGCCACCCUUAUAACUGGCUCUCUUCAUGGUUCUCUAAAAAUUAAGGCUUUCCUUGCGAGACGAGAAUCUUCACCAUCUGAAUCAUGAGUGCCGGUGCCCGUCGUCAGUCCCUUCUCUCUCCGUUACUGGACCUGGAUCUGGAUCUGGACCUCCCUUAUGUUUAUUUUAUGCCAUUUUUUAUCCACAACAAUGAUGCUAAGUGUCUCUGGUGACCUAAACUUCAGUAGUUUGCUAUGCUAUCUCGAUGACCUCCUGGUGUUUGCUCCAUCCGAGCAAGAGGCCCUCAGUAGAACGGAGGUCGUUUUUCAGAGGCUGAGAGAGCACAACCUGAAGUUGAGCCAAAAACAUGCCAUCUGUUGCUGCGGUCUGUGAAAUUCCUCUGACACAUUAUUGAUGGUGACGAGGUAGUGGUUGAUGCAGAGAAAGUAGAAGUUAUUGUGAAAAUGACAAAGAGGGACUUAAUGGAGGAUGACGGCUGCACACCUUCAGUUCGGAGGGUAAAGGUUUUGGGGAUGGUGUUGUACUAUCAGCACUUCAUACCCAACUGUUCCUCCAUAGCAAAGCCUCUUUUUGCCCUUACAACUGGUCAAAAAUGGAGGGGGAAGGUGGGAAAGUUAAAUCAGAAACUCGGUGUCUUCAGAAGGCUCAAGCCCACAGACUGGACUGAUGACUGUGACUCUGCUUUCCUCACACUGAAGGAGAAGCUUCUGAACUGUGCAGUCACAACUCACCCAGACUUCUCCAAACCCCUUAUCCUAUCCAUCGAUGCUUCUCUUGAUGGCCUUGGAGCAGUUUUGUUCCAUAUAUCGGAAGAUGAAACCAAAGCAUGUCUGAUUGCCUUUGUGCCCAUCGUCAGUCCUUCCUCUCCCCUUUACUGGAUCUGGGACAUUUCACAAAAUUGGCCCAUGCAUUCCCCUGUGUCAACCAGACUGCAAAACAAGUUGCUAAGACACUGUGGGACAAUGUAUUCAGCAUAUAUGGUUUUCUAAAUUGAAUACAUUCAGAUCAGGGAGCCAAUUUUGAGAGUAAACUCAUAGCAGAGCUCCUCAGCCUCACAGGGAUCGCGAAGUCACACACAACUGCAUACCAACCGAUGGGAAAUGGGCAAAUUGAGAGGUUUAAUAGAACGCUUGGCAAUAUGUUGCACGCCUUGCCAUUAGCAGCAAAACAACACUGGGCACAACAGAUACAAACCUUGACUUUUGCUUACAAUGCCACAGUUCAUGAAACUACUGGAUACGCCCCAUUCUUUUUAAUGUAUGGUCGAGUUCCCAGACUCCCAGUGGAUGUGGACUUCAGUCAAGUCCUGAGGGACCCAGUCAUGAUUGACUACAAGACCUACGCUGGGAAAUUGAUGGCAAACCUCCAUGAAGCCGCUCGCAUUGCUCAGCAACAUGAAAGGAAAGAGCAGCAGCAGUCAAACUGAUGGUUAGAACAAGAGAGUCCGUGGCACUUGCUUGAAUGUUGGUCACCCGCAACCCAGUGGCUCUGAUCAGCCAACACCUGAAAGAUCCCAAUUGGAUCCUGACGAUGAUAACGAGAACAAAAAAGAGAGAGAAAAAGACUUGCCUGUGAGAGAUCUGCCCAGUUCCAACGUGCUCACCGACCCACAUGAGACUUACGCUGACUUUGACACCUUAAUCAGUGUUCCUGAAUUAGAUGAGAUGGGGCCCCAUAACAGCAUUUCACCCACGACAGUGACUGAUAAUCAGAAACCUACACAAGAUUUAGGGACUGAGACACACGUAGUCAGAACACGUACAGGCAGGGUUGCUAAAGCAGUCAAUAGGUUGAUAGAGAAUAUGGUGCAAAAACCUUUCACAAGGACUGAUAUAGGUGGGUUUAUCAGAAGGACACAGUCUUUAUGUACUUUGUUCUAAACAGGGUAGAGGGAGUGUAGACAUGAGUACUGUAUUAUGUUCCUAGUUAGUACAUUCUUUUGGGGUUGUAUGAGAGAAUGUUCACAUUGGCAAGUAUAGGGUCCCAACAUCUUGUGUGGUAUAAAAGGCAUCACAGUAACUAGGAGAAGCAGUAGCCUGAUCAACUUCUGCUUUCUCUGAACUUACUUCGUGAGUAGCUUAAAAUGCUGUGUGUGGUUAUGUUGGACCAAAUGAGUGUGAACAUUGAACGUUAUAUGAUUGCUUUAUCUAUCUCGCCUUACUUUCUGCAUGUUUAGGAUUUAGGCAAAAUUAAGGAGGGGUGAAUGUAACAGAUAUAGGAAAUAGAAUUUAUUGUUUUUUUAUUUGUGUUUUUUAUGGCAUGUGUUGCGCUGUAAAAUUUAUUAAUUUCGUCAAAAUCCUUCGCGGUUAUUUAAUAGUUUUCUGUUCUAGGUGUUGGGAGUACUUUAGUUGUGUUAUAGCGCUCUUUGUUGAUUGGUAGCAGAUGUAUCGCGUUAUUUCCUGUCUCUCACCACUUGGCGUUGAAUUUGACUGAGAGAGGUAUGUACUUAAGCCGGCGUGAUUAUAAAGUUAAAAUUUUAAGCUUUAAAAGUCGUUUCAAGUGCACAACCUUGUUUAAUCAUUUAUAGUAUUAUUAGGAUAGACGGGUGUGUCGUUUUUGCUAUGUAUUUUACUUGUAAAAUGGGUUUGUGAAAGAUGCGCAAAUUAGCACAUUUUUGUCGCGUUUGUGCUAGCUGUCACCAUUUUAUCUUAUCGAGGUACACGCUUAUGUUAUCUUCUCAUAUUAGGUUUGUUGAGAAGAAAAAUCCUGUAUGACGACGUUUUGCUUUCUUUGAACUCUAAAUAGGCAUGCGCAUGUGUUUUGUACUCCCUUUACCAUGUUCAGUAAGUGUAUUAUUUUAGUCAAAUUCAUUGUAUUAGGCUACUGUGGUGCAGGACAUUUUUUAUGAUUGCUGUUGUGUUUGUGUAAUCGUUUUUUAAUGGAAUGUAUAUAUAUUUUUUGUUAUGUGCCAGUUGAUAAAUGCGCAUCAAUAUGAUCUAUAUUUCAUGUUAAUAUGUACAAAGUUAAAAAGCUAAUUGUUAUUAAUAAUAUAAUUGUAUGUCAUAAAACACAAUGUAAUGACAUUUGCUAUUUGUAAUUUUUGUAUUUUAUUAACAUGUUUUGUGUUAGUCUCACGUUGAUAGUGAGUCGGCAUUGAGUUUGACUGCGAGAGGUUUGUUGAGAAGAUAUAUCCUGUAUGAUGACGUUUUGAAUGCCUUUUAUUGUCACUAUACAUAUGUACAAUGAAAUUAAGAGCCACUCCUUUUUGUUCCGUGCAAACAUAUACAUUCAAUACACAAGAAGAAUAAACAGAUAAUACACAGAUAAAUAAACAAGAUAAAUAAACAAAAUAAAUAAACAAGAUAUACA